UACGGUUUGUCACCGUCAGUCUCCUUAGAGUUCUCAGCAUAACCUGUUAGCAACUAAGGACAGGGGUUGCGCUCGUUACGGGACUUAACCCAACAUCUCACGACACGAGCUGACGACAGCCAUGCAGCACCUGUAUCAGAGUUCCCGAAGGCACCAAUCCAUCUCUGGAAAGUUCUCUGUAUGUCAAGGCCUGGUAAGGUUCUUCGCGUUGCAUCGAAUUAAACCACAUGCUCCACCGCUUGUGCGGGCCCCCGUCAAUUCAUUUGAGUUUUAACCUUGCGGCCGUACUCCCCAGGCGGUCUACUUAUCGCGUUAGCUGCGCCACUAAGAAUACAAGACUCCCAACGGCUAGUAGACAUCGUUUACGGCGUGGACUAC
This 378-nucleotide unclassified non-coding RNA is filed under the name uncultured Cellvibrionales bacterium. RNAcentral's name for it is "contains 16S-23S intergenic spacer region". The record is from RNAcentral. Lineage: Bacteria; Pseudomonadati; Pseudomonadota; Gammaproteobacteria; Cellvibrionales.